This 405-nucleotide ribosomal RNA is filed under the name Triticum aestivum (bread wheat). RNAcentral's name for it is "partial small subunit ribosomal RNA". The record is from RNAcentral. Lineage: Eukaryota; Viridiplantae; Streptophyta; Magnoliopsida; Poales; Poaceae.
AUGUCAGAAGAUCCUCGAGGAGGCCACGAGAUAGGGGGGCGCACCCACCCCCCUGCGCGUGCCCUACCCUCUCGUGGGCCCCUCGAGGCUCCCCCGACUAACUUCUUUCGCCUAUAUAAGCCUACAUACCCUAAAAACAUCGAAUAUCAAGAUAGAUCAGAAGUUCCGCCGCUGCAAGCCUCUGUAAUCACGAGAAAUCAAUCUAGGCCCUCUACGACACCCUGCCGGAGGGGGCCAUCAUCAUCGGAGGCCACGGAGGAGGAUCUCAGAGGGGCCAUCAUCGCCAUGAAGGCCAAGGACCAGAGAGGGAAACCCAUGGAGGAGGAAGCACAAGGGGGAGAACCUCUCCUCCUCUCUCUUGGUGGAACCGGAGUGCCAUCAGGAGGGGAAUCAUCACCGCGGUGA